AUGCCCCGUCGCUUCCCUGCGCAGCCGCUGAGGCACCCGACGACGGCCGUGACGUCGCUGCCCUGCGCAGCCGCCGAGGCACCCGACAACGGCCACGACGACAAGGUCGCCGAGUCACUCGACGACGGCCAUGACGACGUGUUGUUCCCCAACACAGGUGCAGCCGCACAGAUGCCCUGCCAUGGCCACGACGAGGAGCUCCUCACUGACAUAGGCAGUAAUGAGACUAAGAAUCGUAUGGAAAGGGAGCGGUAUGCACGAAAUAGAGAGGAAAUAUUAAAGCAACGGCGACAAACCCGCGAGCAAAAUAAGCAUAUUGCUGCCGUCCUUGAUGGCAGUAACAUUGUAACGCAAGUGCCGGCUACCGGACAAUCUACAGUCACACAACUGCAGAACAUAACAAGUGCAGGGGGUGCGGUACCAAAUUUCGUCCAUUUGACCAGAGACAAUGUGGACGAUGAGUCCGAUUGGUUGCACAGAAAUGAUGUGUACCAGAUGCAACGGAAUUCAAGACGACUAACACCCACACUUAUGUCACUGGAUGAGAACCCCCAACUCAGUAUAGAUCCUUCUUAUGGCAAGAAACCUCUACCGAUCCAACGUAAUUAUAUUACUCCAGGGAUGGAACCGUCCCCAUAUGCAGGUCAAACCCCGGAUAAUCAAAUUGAAUGCUUGGGAGAUGGGAACCUAGGAGAAAAAUCUGGAGGCGUGGACCAUGAUGAAGAAGCUAGGAUCUUCGCCCAACCAGAUGUUUAUUUUCAAUCCUACCGAGUGGAGAAAAAUUAUGGUGAUGGAGAUCCCAAUAAUGAUGCUCACAAUAGAGUUUACAUGAACCUGACCAAAAAGCAUCAUGUGCUUAGAAAAGUUAUUGAUUGCCGCCAUUGUGGAGCUUUGCGAUUUCAAUACGAGGGGCCUGCGUUUUGCUGCAGAAAUGGGAAAGUGGAUGUAUUUACUCCAGAUGUUUGUGAGGAGUUGAAACAGUUGUUUACAAGUCAAGAUGAUGAGGAUGCUAGAUAUUUCAGAGAAAAUAUAUGGGUUAAGAGGUCUCCAAAUCUUAGGUUAGAUCUCAUAUGGAAGAUUCUGGCAAUACUAGAGCAUAACCCUUAUGCUCAAGUAUUUAAAAGCCUUGGUGUUGUUCCAAAUCUAGAUGAAUACAUGAUCUCAUUAAAUACUGAUAUCAAGCUUGACCAACGAAGGUACAAUGCGCCAACAACUUCUCAGGUAGCAGCAAUAUGGUUUCAAGGGAGCGACCCACAAAAAACCUUUGAUAGAAGUGUUAUCGUGUACGGGAAAGGAGAGUGUCCCCUGUAUAUUAGAGCAUACUAUGGGUGCUACGACCCUUUGUCAUAUCCACUAUUCUUCCCACGUGGGGAGAUCCAUUGGAAUCGUUUGAUGCCAUAUAUUGGGGCCGCCGAUGACACAAACCAAGAUUCAGUGGAUGAUUCUGCACGACAAGAGUACCCAGCCUAUGUUCUUCCUUCAGUAAUCCAUCUUGCAGACGAUAACAUGAUUAGCAAACAACUUGGUCAUGAGGCAAGACAUGAAGACCAGGCCACUGAUUUAGCUGCAGAACAACUUGAUCAUGGCGGACGACAUGACGACCAGGCCACUGAUUUAGCUGCAGUACUAAUUUGGACGAUGUUGUUCAGUUCAUGGUUCCUGAAAUUGGUAUGUGGUCUACCAUAUAUGUGGCAGGAAGAGGCUAGUGCCCAAGAGUUUGUCGAUGAAAGAGCUGGGCGCAAGCUGGAUGGUCUUCAUGUGCUCAACUCUGCUCGGCCAAUGAGGUCACCGCCACCACAAGAACAUUCACUUAAGGAGAGCCACCUGGAAGCGCAACUCGACUGUCUCCCUCCCUCCCAUGGUGUUCAUUAUUUCAACUCGAGGAACUUGCUGGCACCUGAUUCAACAGGGAGGAUAUUGCCAACAUUGAGGAACUUGCUGGCAAAAGUGUGA
Molecule: ribosomal RNA, 1953 nt
Filed under: Triticum aestivum (bread wheat)
Lineage: Eukaryota; Viridiplantae; Streptophyta; Magnoliopsida; Poales; Poaceae
Description: partial small subunit ribosomal RNA
Source: RNAcentral